GACGAACGCUGGCGGCGUGCUUAACACAUGCAAGUCGAACGGAAAGGCCCUGCUUUUGUGGGGUGCUCGAGUGGCGAACGGGUGAGUAACACGUGAGUAACCUGCCCUUGACUUUGGGAUAACUUCAGGAAACUGGGGCUAAUACCGGCUAGGAGCUCCUGCUGCAUGGUGGGGGUUGGAAAGUUUCGGCGGUUGGGGAUGGACUCGCGGCUUAUCAGCUUGUUGGUGGGGUAGUGGCUUACCAAGGCUUUGACGGGUAGCCGGCCUGAGAGGUUGACCGGCCACAUUGGGACUGAGAUACGGCCCAGACUCCUACGGGAGGCAGCAGUGGGGAAUAUUGCACAAUGGGCGGAAGCCUGAUGCAGCAACGCCGCGUGCGGGAUGACGGCCUUCGGGUUGUAAACCGCUUUCGCCUGUGACGAAGCGUGAGUGACGGUAAUGGGUAAAGAAGCACCGGCUAACUACGUG
Molecule: ribosomal RNA, 468 nt
Filed under: uncultured bacterium
Lineage: Bacteria
Description: partial 16S ribosomal RNA
Rfam family: Bacterial small subunit ribosomal RNA
Source: RNAcentral